GCCAUCUCCCUCCCCUGGAAACACAGCUGAGGACUGGACAUCAGGACAAUGAGUUGUAGCUGCAAGGACAUGGGUCCUAGCGGCCCAGUGGACCACCUGCGGGCUGAUGGUGAUGAGCUGUUGCUGUUGCUUGGAGAAGCUGUGUGACUCACGUGCAAUCAUCCUGAAACCUUGGUGUGAAAAUAAACAGGAAAGGCUAAA
Molecule: long non-coding RNA, 201 nt
Organism: Erinaceus europaeus (western European hedgehog)
Lineage: Eukaryota; Metazoa; Chordata; Mammalia; Eulipotyphla; Erinaceidae
Exons: 2
Source: RefSeq, a predicted model, not a curated record